AUACGGAGGGUGCAAGCGUUAAUCGGAAUUACUGGGCGUAAAGCGCUCGUAGGCGGCUUGUUAAGUCGGAUGUGAAAGCCCCGGGCUCAACCUGGGAACUGCAUUCGAUACUGGCAGGCUAGAGUAUAGUAGAGGCAAGUGGAAUUCCGGGUGUAGCGGUGAAAUGCGUAGAUAUCCGGAGGAACAUCAGUGGCGAAGGCGACUUGCUGGACUAAUACUGACGCUGAGGAGCGAAAGCGUGGGGAGCAAACGGGAUUAGAUACCCCGGUAGUCC
RNAcentral lists this ribosomal RNA (274 nucleotides) under uncultured bacterium. RNAcentral describes it as "partial 16S ribosomal RNA". It matches the Rfam family "Bacterial small subunit ribosomal RNA", at positions 523 to 796 of the family's 1533-position model. The record is from RNAcentral.